RNAcentral lists this ribosomal RNA (253 nucleotides) under uncultured bacterium. RNAcentral describes it as "partial 16S ribosomal RNA". It matches the Rfam family "Bacterial small subunit ribosomal RNA", at positions 524 to 776 of the family's 1533-position model. The record is from RNAcentral.
UACGUAGGGUGCGAGCGUUGUCCGGAAUUAUUGGGCGUAAAGGGCUCGUAGGCGGUUUGUCGCGUCGGGAGUGAAAUCCACUGGCUUAACUGGUGGCUUGCUUUCGAUACGGGCAGACUGGAGGUAUGCAGGGGAGAACGGAAUUCCUGGUGUAGCGGUGAAAUGCGCAGAUAUCAGGAGGAACACCGGUGGCGAAGGCGGUUCUCUGGGCAUGUCCUGACGCUGAGGAGCGAAGGCUAGGGGAGCGAACGGG